Molecule: ribosomal RNA, 254 nt
Filed under: uncultured bacterium
Lineage: Bacteria
Description: partial 16S ribosomal RNA
Rfam family: Bacterial small subunit ribosomal RNA
Source: RNAcentral
UACGUAGGGGGCAAGCGUUGUCCGGAAUCAUUGGGCGUAAAGCGCGUGUAGGCGGCCCGGUAAGUCCGCUGUGAAAGUCCAGGGCUCAACCCUGGAAUGCCGGUGGAUACUGUCGGGCUCGAGUCCGGAAGAGGCGAGUGGAAUUCCUGGUGUAGCGGUGAAAUGCGCAGAUAUCAGGAGGAACACCAAUGGCGAAGGCAGCUCCGCUGGGACGGUACUGACGCUGAGGAGCGAAAGCGUGGGGAGCGAACGGG